RNAcentral lists this ribosomal RNA (1284 nucleotides) under Rhithrogena sp. XL-2019. Its description in RNAcentral is "16S ribosomal RNA". The stretch from base 586 to 1284 matches the Rfam family "Archaeal large subunit ribosomal RNA", at positions 1423 to 2850 of the family's 2987-position model. The record is from RNAcentral. Lineage: Eukaryota; Metazoa; Arthropoda; Insecta; Ephemeroptera; Heptageniidae.
UAUUUAGCUUGUUUUGUUGGGUUUAUAGUUUUAAAUAAGUAAAUCAAUAUAAAUAUUCAAGUUUGGUAAGGGGUAGAGAUAAAAUUAAGUAAGCAAUAGAAAAAGUACUGUGAAGGAAAAUUGAAAUAGUUGAAAUAUAAAUUAAAGGGGAAGUAGGUUUAAUGCUGUACCUUUUGUAUCAGGGUUUAUUAAAUAGAGGGGUAAAUAUUCUGUAAUCUCGAUGUAAGAAGGGCUACCAUACUAAGUUAGAUAAGGUGGUAAAUUUAUUGAAAAUAGUAUGGUAGGAACGAAAAGUUAAACGAUUCUUAUGGUUUCUAGUUUCUUAAGAAAUAAAUUUAAUUUAGGAAUGGCAGGAAUUUCUGGUAUUGUUCUUGAUAUUUUAAGCCAUUCUACUAACUUGAGGGAUAAGCUUUGGGUUAAUCUUAGAACUUAAGGAUUUAGAGAAAAUUUGUAGGCUUGAAAGUAGCCACCAUUGAAGGAUGUUAUAAUUUAUUUUCUUGGAUGAAAAUUUUUAAUGGUUUAAGUGUUUAUUAAGAAAUUAUUCUAAAUUGUUAGGGUAAGGUAUAAUGAUAAAAUGAGUAUAAUCAUUGUUGUUUAAUGAAAAAUUCUGGUAAGGAACUCGGCAAAAAUAGUGCUCGCCUGUUUAUCAAAAACAUCGCCUUUUGAAAAUAUAGAAGGUCUGACCUGCCCACUGAAGAAGUUAAAGGGCCGCGGUAUUUUGACCGUGCAAAGGUAGCAUAAUCAUUAGUCUUCUAAUUAAAGGCUGGAAUGAAUGGUUGGACGAGGUACUAGCUGUCUCACUAGAAUAGAUUUGAACUUAGCUUUUUAGUCAAAAGGCUGAAAUGUAGUUGGAGGACGAGAAGACCCUAUAGAGCUUUACACUAAACUUUUUUAAUUUGUUUAGAGAAAUUUUUAAUUUUAAAGGAUAAGUGUUUCGUUGGGGUGACGGGAAGAUAUAAUUAACUCUUUUUAAAUUUUAACACUGAUGAGUGAGUAGUUGAUCCAUAAUUAAUGAUUAAAAGACUAAGUUACCUUAGGGAUAACAGCGUAAUCUUUUUUGAGAGUUCUAAUCGACAAAAAGGGUUGCGACCUCGAUGUUGGACUAAGGAUUAUUUUUGGGUGUAGCAGCUCAAAGUUUAGGUCUGUUCGACCUUUGGAUCCUUACAUGAUCUGAGUUCAGACCGGCGUAAGCCAGGUCGGUUUCUAUCCUCAAUAGAGUGAAAUAUUUUAGUACGAAAGGACCAAAUAUUUAAGAUAAUCUUGGGAAGUGAAUAAUAAUAACUA